RNAcentral lists this unclassified non-coding RNA (556 nucleotides) under Hevea brasiliensis (rubber tree). The record is from RNAcentral. Lineage: Eukaryota; Viridiplantae; Streptophyta; Magnoliopsida; Malpighiales; Euphorbiaceae.
AAAUAAAAAAAUAAAAAAAAGAAAUCCUGGACCAAAUGAACUACUGAUAAUAUAUAUAUCUUUGAACUAAUAAUUUUUACGGCUAUACAUAACAUUUCAUUCUACCCGUGUUGUAAUUGCAUUAAUUAACAUUUUCACCCUUCUUAAAGAACAAAUAAAAAAUUCCAAUAGAAAAUAACUUUUUUAGGCUGCACCAUAAAUUUGAUCUAAAUUAAAGUAAAUACAGGUAAAAUAAGAGCAAGAAAAACUUUUUUUUUAAUCGAAGCACCAACCAUCUUGUAAAGAUUGUUUUUCAUGGACUUGCAAUAGAUAGCAAAUAGAUUAUGCUUCUUUUCAGGAAUCACAUCAUGAUUUUCUUCAACAAAAUAUGAAAUAAAUUUUCCCCUUUCGCACAAGUAUAAAACAAACAGCAUGAUACUAGACUUAAUUUUUUGGAUAUUCCUAUUAUCUAUCAGGAUUUGGAUAAUAUGUAUCCGAAUUAAGCUCAAAAAGAUAAAGGUCUACCUUUUAGGCUGUAUGAAACCAGUUCAAGCAUAGAAAUCUCAAUUACAAGGCG